CAAAGUCCUGAGUCUCCACUUUUCUUAGCCGAUUGAACAGAUUCAUAUAAUCAAUGCACAAUCGCAGGAUGCUUUCGUUCUUACUCAUCGUCUGUCUGAUGCUUUCUGGAGCUGAUUCACGUCAUCACUACGGAUGGAAAUCGUCCUCGAGCGAUGAGGGGAUUUACUUCCAUCAUUACCCUGUACAGCAGCCUACUUGGUUUAACCUCCUGUGGAAGUUCUGUCCAUGGAUUAUACCUGGCCCCGCCCCUGCUCCAGGCCCCGCCCCCAGUCCUGCGCCCACACCUGGACCACCCACUACCACUUCGAACCGCGGAGACAGCGGUUAAAACUCGUCUAGACUCGGCUCUGUCCUGAACAAGUUACAGAAAAAGCUCUGAGUUCAUGACCAAGAAGGUUUAUAAAAUAUUUAUUUUUUUAAUAAACGCAGUAGAGAUGAUGAUGCGUAAAAUAUCGAGGACUGCAGAACCUCAGUAAUAAGCGUUACACUCGUAGAAACUCAUACACUCAUCAGUCGCUUAAGGACAGAUUGGACAGUUUGGAUUUUUUUUUAAUAUAUUUAAAUUAAAUUGAAUUUAUUUUUCACCACAACAAAACCAUUUUGACAGGUUUCCCUAAUCCCCAGUCCACUCCAAACAAACUAACAACAAACUAAUGUAACUGAGAUUUAAAAAAAAUGAAGCAAACACAAUAUUCAGAUUUAUUUUUCAAAAAAUAUGCGAGGAUUUCUCAAGCACAUGUACAAUCACAGUCCCACAGUGUCCUCGUGUGUGUGUGUGUGUGUGUCCUUGUGUGUGUGUGUGUGUGUGUGUGUGUGUGUGUGGGGUAUUCAGUAUUCGAGCACUUUUACAGCUUUUAUUGAGGAAACUGAAGCAAAGUGAGAACAAAAAAAAUUUCUUAUAAAAGUGUUUUUUUUAUUUCCUUACUGUACGACAGUGAAUCUGAGAGAAGUGACUCCGCUUUAAAGUCAAGAACAAAUAUUGCUUUAUUACAUUUUAUUCCUCUUUGCUGCUCUUUAGUUAAUUGCUAUACUUGUUUCAUUUCAGUAUUUCUGAACACAUCUUUGCUUUUACAGAAUUAUUUUAUUAGCAUUAUGAACAUCGAGAAAGUGUUACUGAAAUCAUUGAUUUGUCUCCUUUAUUACUGCGUUUGUGUGUUUGUUAGGUCUUGGUCAUGAAUUCAGACUUUUUUUUUACUGUAUACAAUCACUCAGUGUGUAGAUUCCACUUUAAUAUCAACAAUAAAG
Long non-coding RNA from Pangasianodon hypophthalmus (striped catfish), 1246 nucleotides. RefSeq lists it as uncharacterized. The transcript has 4 exons. Lineage: Eukaryota; Metazoa; Chordata; Actinopteri; Siluriformes; Pangasiidae. The record is from RefSeq and is a predicted model, not a curated record.